Molecule: ribosomal RNA, 250 nt
Filed under: uncultured Eubacteriales bacterium
Lineage: Bacteria; Bacillati; Bacillota; Clostridia; Eubacteriales
Description: uncultured Clostridiales bacterium partial 16S ribosomal RNA
Rfam family: Bacterial small subunit ribosomal RNA
Source: RNAcentral
UACGUAGGGGGCAAGCGUUAUCCGGAAUUACUGGGUGUAAAGGGUGCGUAGGCGGUAAAGUAAGUUAGGUGUGAAAGCCCGGGGCUCAACCUCGGGACUGCACUUAAAACUGCUUUACUAGAAUACAGGAGAGGUAAGUGGAAUUCCUAGUGUAGCGGUGAAAUGCGUAGAUAUUAGGAGGAACACCAGUGGCGAAGGCGACUUACUGGACUGUGAUUGACGCUGAGGCACGAAAGCGUGGGGAGCGAAC